AGGACCAUAGCUUGGCAGUAGAGCGUCUGCUUCACACGCAGAGGGCCCCAGGUUCCAUCCCAGGUGUCUCUA
Molecule: non-coding RNA, 72 nt
Organism: Podarcis lilfordi (Lilford's wall lizard)
Lineage: Eukaryota; Metazoa; Chordata; Lepidosauria; Squamata; Lacertidae
Source: the annotation of a GenBank genome assembly